RNAcentral lists this ribosomal RNA (696 nucleotides) under uncultured rumen bacterium. Its description in RNAcentral is "bacterial SSU rRNA". It matches the Rfam family "Bacterial small subunit ribosomal RNA", at positions 787 to 1482 of the family's 1533-position model. The record is from RNAcentral.
CUGUUAGUCCAUGCUGUAAACGAUGAAUGCUAGUUGUCGGCAUGAUGUCGGUGACGAAGUUAACGCGAUAAGCAUUCCGCCUGGGGAGUACGUCGCAAGAUUAAAACUCAAAGGAAUUGACGGGGACCCGCACAAGCGGUGGAGCAUGUGGUUUAAUUCGAUGCAACGCGAAGAACCUUACCAACUCUUGACAUCCUUAUCGGGGAGCGAAGAGAUUUGUUCUUUCAGUUAGGCUGGAUAAGUGACAGAUGCUGCAUGGCUGUCGUCAGCUCGUGUCGUGAGAUGUUGGGUUAAGUCCCGCAACGAGCGCAACCCUUGCUACCAGUUGCCGUCACGUAAAGGUGGGCACUCUGGUGGGACUGCCGGUGACAAGCCGGAGGAAGGUGGGGAUGACGUCAAGUCAUCAUGGCUCUUACGAGUUGGGCUACACACGUGCUACAAUGGCAACUACAAAGAGGAUCGAGGCUGUGAGGCCAAGGCAAUCUUAAAAAGUUGUCUCAGUUCGGAUUGUUCUCUGCAACUCGAGAACAUGAAGUUGGAAUCGCUAGUAAUCGCGGAACAGCAUGCCGCGGUGAAUACGUUCCCGGGUCUUGUACACACCGCCCGUCACGCCAUGGGAGUUGGUUCUGCCUGACGGCGUUGAGGUAACCUAGCAAUAGGAGCCUGGCGACCACGGUAGGGUCAGCGACUGGGGCG